RNAcentral lists this ribosomal RNA (433 nucleotides) under uncultured bacterium. RNAcentral's name for it is "partial 16S ribosomal RNA". It matches the Rfam family "Bacterial small subunit ribosomal RNA", at positions 29 to 507 of the family's 1533-position model. The record is from RNAcentral.
AACGAACGCUGGCGGCAUGCCUAACACAUGCAAGUCGAACGAGACCUUCGGGUCUAGUGGCGCACGGGUGCGUAACGCGUGGGAACCUGCCCUUAGGUUCGGAAUAACUCCCCGAAAGGGGUGCUAAUACCGGAUAAUGUCUUCGGACCAAAGAUUUAUCGCCUUUGGAUGGGCCCGCGUUGGAUUAGCUAGUUGGUAGGGUAAAAGCCUACCAAGGCGACGAUCCAUAGCUGGUCUGAGAGGAUGAUCAGCCACACUGGGACUGAGACACGGCCCAGACUCCGACGGGAGGCAGAGGUGGGGAAUAUUAGACGAUGGGCGAAAGCCUGAUCCAGCAAUGCCGGGUGAGUGAUGAAGGCCUUAGGGUUGUAAAGCUCUUUUACCCGGGAUGAUAAUGACAGUACCGGGAGAAUAAGCUCCGGCUAACUCCGUG